RNAcentral lists this ribosomal RNA (929 nucleotides) under Bacillus subtilis. RNAcentral describes it as "bacterial LSU rRNA". It matches the Rfam family "Bacterial large subunit ribosomal RNA", at positions 1 to 924 of the family's 2925-position model. RNAcentral also lists the same sequence under 1 other name. The record is from RNAcentral. Lineage: Bacteria; Bacillati; Bacillota; Bacilli; Caryophanales; Bacillaceae.
CGGUUAAGUUAGAAAGGGCGCACGGUGGAUGCCUUGGCACUAGGAGCCGAUGAAGGACGGGACGAACACCGAUAUGCUUCGGGGAGCUGUAAGCAAGCUUUGAUCCGGAGAUUUCCGAAUGGGGAAACCCACCACUCGUAAUGGAGUGGUAUCCAUAUCUGAAUUCAUAGGAUAUGAGAAGGCAGACCCGGGGAACUGAAACAUCUAAGUACCCGGAGGAAGAGAAAGCAAAUGCGAUUCCCUGAGUAGCGGCGAGCGAAACGGGAUUAGCCCAAACCAAGAGGCUUGCCUCUUGGGGUUGUAGGACACUCUGUACGGAGUUACAAAAGAACGAGGUAGAUGAAGAGGUCUGGAAAGGCCCGCCAUAGGAGGUAACAGCCCUGUAGUCAAAACUUCGUUCUCUCCUGAGUGGAUCCUGAGUACGGCGGAACACGUGAAAUUCCGUCGGAAUCCGGGAGGACCAUCUCCCAAGGCUAAAUACUCCCUAGUGACCGAUAGUGAACCAGUACCGUGAGGGAAAGGUGAAAAGCACCCCGGAAGGGGAGUGAAAGAGAUCCUGAAACCGUGUGCCUACAAGUAGUCAGAGCCCGUUAACGGGUGAUGGCGUGCCUUUUGUAGAAUGAACCGGCGAGUUACGAUCCCGUGCAAGGUUAAGCAGAAGAUGCGGAGCCGCAGCGAAAGCGAGUCUGAAUAGGGCGCAUGAGUACGUGGUCGUAGACCCGAAACCAGGUGAUCUACCCAUGUCCAGGGUGAAGUUCAGGUAACACUGAAUGGAGGCCCGAACCCACGCACGUUGAAAAGUGCGGGGAUGAGGUGUGGGUAGGGGUGAAAUGCCAAUCGAACCUGGAGAUAGCUGGUUCUCUCCGAAAUAGCUUUAGGGCUAGCCUCAAGGUAAGAGUCUUGGAGGUAGAGCACUGAUUGGACUAGGG